RNAcentral lists this ribosomal RNA (441 nucleotides) under uncultured bacterium. RNAcentral describes it as "partial 16S ribosomal RNA". It matches the Rfam family "Bacterial small subunit ribosomal RNA", at positions 338 to 766 of the family's 1533-position model. The record is from RNAcentral.
CCUACGGGAGGCAGCAGUGAGGAUUUUUUGCCCAAUGGGGGAAACCCUGACUCAGCAACGCCGCGUGAGUGAUGAAGGCCUUUGGAUCGUAAAGUUCUGUCAGGUGGGAAGAAGUUUUUAUGGAUUAAUACGGUUUGGUAUUGACGGUACCAUCAAAGGAAAGCACCGGCUAAACUCCGUGCCAGCAGCCGCGGUAAUACGGGGGGUGCAAGCGUUUUUCGGAAUUAUUGGGCGUAAAGGGCGCGUAGGCGGUUUUUUAAGUCAGAUGUGAAAGCCCGGGGCUCAACCCUGGAAGUGCAUUUGAAACUGCCAGGCUUGAGUAUGGGAGGGGGAAGUGGAAUUCCUGGUGUAGAGGUGAAAUUCGUAGAUAUCAGGAGGAACACCGGUGGCGAAGGCGGCUUCCUGGCCCAAUACUGACGCUGAGGUGCUAUUAGCUUGGGG